RNAcentral lists this non-coding RNA (23 nucleotides) under Cricetulus griseus (Chinese hamster). Lineage: Eukaryota; Metazoa; Chordata; Mammalia; Rodentia; Cricetidae. The record is from RNAcentral.
AACAGGACUGGAGACAGAUGGGU